ACAUGCCUACAUCAUAGCGUGAAUGCACUGGAUCCCAUUAUAAUUCCACAGUUAAGUGUGCUCGAGCUAGAGUAGUACUGGGAUGGGUGAGAACCUAGGAAGUCGUAGUGUUUUACAUGCC
Non-coding RNA from Picea glauca (white spruce), 121 nucleotides. The record is from Rfam. NCBI's taxonomy places the organism in Eukaryota, Viridiplantae, Streptophyta, Pinopsida, Pinales, Pinaceae.